This 253-nucleotide ribosomal RNA is filed under the name uncultured bacterium. Its description in RNAcentral is "partial 16S ribosomal RNA". It matches the Rfam family "Bacterial small subunit ribosomal RNA", at positions 524 to 776 of the family's 1533-position model. The record is from RNAcentral.
UACGUAGGGUGCGAGCGUUAAUCGGAAUUACUGGGCGUAAAGCGUGCGCAGGCGGUGAUGUAAGACAGAUGUGAAAUCCCCGGGCUCAACCUGGGAACUGCAUUUGUGACUGCAUCGCUGGAGUGCGGCAGAGGGGGAUGGAAUUCCUGGUGUAGCAGUGAAAUGCGUAGAUAUCAGGAGGAACACCGAUGGCGAAGGCGGCGACCUGGUCCGAUACUGACGCUGAGGCGCGAAAGCGUGGGGAGCAAACAGG